This 404-nucleotide ribosomal RNA is filed under the name uncultured Clostridium sp. RNAcentral's name for it is "bacterial SSU rRNA". It matches the Rfam family "Bacterial small subunit ribosomal RNA", at positions 355 to 776 of the family's 1533-position model. Lineage: Bacteria; Bacillati; Bacillota; Clostridia; Eubacteriales; Clostridiaceae. The record is from RNAcentral. RNAcentral also lists the same sequence under 1 other name.
UGGGGAAUAUUGCACAAUGGGGGAAACCCUGAUGCAGCAACGCCGCGUGAGUGAUGAAGGUUUUCGGAUCGUAAAACUCUGUCUUUGGGGACGAUAAUGACGGUACCCAAGGAGGAAGCCACGGCUAACUACGUGCCAGCAGCCGCGGUAAUACGUAGGUGGCAAGCGUUGUCCGGAUUUACUGGGCGUAAAGGGAGCGUAGGUGGAUUUUUAAGUGAGAUGUGAAAUGCUCGGGCUCAACCUGAGAACUGCAUUUCAAACUGGAAAUCUAGAGUGCAGGAGAGGAAAGUGGAAUUCCUAGUGUAGCGGUGAAAUGCGUAGAUAUUAGGAAGAACACCAGUGGCGAAGGCGACUUUCUGGACUGUAACUGACACUGAGGCUCGAAAGCGUGGGGAGCAAACAGG